Long non-coding RNA from Bombyx mori (domestic silkworm), 2856 nucleotides. RefSeq lists it as uncharacterized. The record is from RefSeq and is a predicted model, not a curated record. The transcript is spliced from 2 exons. Lineage: Eukaryota; Metazoa; Arthropoda; Insecta; Lepidoptera; Bombycidae.
UUAAUAAUUACCUACGGUACCUACAACUUUUAAAAUACUAACUGUAUGGGUAGAAGUACUAUGUACAAAACUGAAUUUGCGUAGUAGUCUGUGGUUUUAAAGAUUUUGACUCUAUGACGUGACGUUUGUGACGUUUCACUCGACGCUUAAAAUAACCUAAAAUACAAUUUGUUUAUUUUGCAAUUUACGCGUUUAACGGUUUUGUCUUAUUCCUAUUAAACUUUUAUAUUAGUUUGCUUCAUUAUAUGCAUCGUAUAGAGGAAUACAGUUAGUUGUGUAGUAGUGUUUUAAAAUCGCGGUUGUUUGAUACCUUGCCCAUAAAAUAGCUAAGAAUUUUAUUUUCAUGUGCAUAAAUUUCAAAACAUAAAUCCUUAAUGUGCGCUGUGUUUGUGAUAAUGCUUUUAUAAAUUGACUAAAGCACUUAAUUCUUAGUUAGAUUGAGAGGUAAGUCAUAUUUUGGCGAGAUGCUGUCAUUGGUAAGUCUAAUUUUUUAUUUGAAAUUGUUUGUUAAUAAUAUUUAUAUCAAUUUUAAAGUGAGUUACAAACUUACAGCCUGUAUUUUAGGCUUUUUUUAAAAUGAAUUCUUUCUGUUUUACAUGAAAUUAAGUGAAUGUCUGCAAAAUGUUUCAUACUAGAACACGGUCUAAAAUUUAAUGCUGAUAAUUUUUAAAAAUCAAAUAAAUUAUUCAACCAUCAAUCUAUUGUUUUACUAUAUGACCUACCAAAGUUUUACCCUGCACGAAAAGGCAAAAUAUAAAAAUUAACAUAGAUUUUACUAUUUUCAAAUUAGAAAUAGACUAAGUAAAGUGAAUGUGGCACUUGUUAAGUAUGAUCUGUUGUAAACAAACUUCUCGAAUGUUUUUUUAAAAAUUGCAUUUAAGUUUUGACUUCACCAACUAUUGUUAUCAAACCUGACAGUAAAAAAUCUCAGUUUACCAGUUAGCCUGAAUUUCUGUAACGGAACAUAAGUGAUUCAAAGUGGACUUUUAUUAGUUGAAACAAAUUUUUAAACACAGCUAAGCUGACUCGACAGAUAAGUCAUAGGAAAAUGGCAGCUGUUUAUGAAAUAAGAAUGCUUCUUCAAUAAAUGUAAGGGCUGCAAAUUGUUUACAUUAUUGAAAAUUUGCAAAAAGUUCGAAAUGUUUCACUGUAUAUACCUUUGGUUUUGCUAAGUUCCUACUAUUUUCGUAUUCUUCAAAUGUACUCACAACUUCACAACAAGAAGGUAUAAACUAUAAAGGUUUCAACACAGAUAGUUGUAAAUUGUAUCAUUAUUAUAAUCAAAAGUCUAAAAGGAAAAUUUUAUUUCCAAUGAGGUAAUGUAUAAUAUAUAUUUGUGUAGAAACACAUCAAUAUUUUAAAUUUUAAUGCAUCAUUUAAAUGUUUCGAUUGAAAAUAUUUACAGAUGCAAUGAUCAUACCAUCAAGGUACAAGAGAGGCCAGGGUAUGCUUCUAUUCCGUGGCUAUACUUAUUCGUGGAGGAAUCACAAAAAGAAUGGCAAUUAUUGGACAUGUUCCAGUCAUCAUAAGAAAGGUUGCAAAGCUCAUGCCACCACAAAUGAAACCGAAAAACCAUUUGAAGUGACAUCUUUUCACACUAAUCACAAUCACCCACCACCUAAAUUAAAAAUUUCCCCAGAUAUUGAAUUUGUGGAUUCGUGAUGUUGUCCUUGUAUAAUUCGUUUGUAUAGGAGUCUGCAGUAAGCAAAUAUUAUUGCUAUAGCUUGUGCUAUUGGAUUUGACAGAAAAACUACAUAAGUAAUUUUUAUGGUUGGAAAAAACAAGGGGAUUGGAAUAAUCCACCCUACCAAUUAUGCAGGCUAGGAUUUUUCGAAGUUAAAUGUUUUGAAAUAAAUUGCUUGUUACCUUAUUUAAAAAUGAUGGCCUAUUAAAUGUAUUCGUUAUUUUUUUAAUUAAUAGACUGGAAAUUAUUAUCCAGCAAAGAUUUGACAAACGACAAGCAUUGAAUGUAUUGAAAUUUGUUGUAUAUUAACUCUAAAUAAAUUUUAUGUAAUGUUCAAGUUUUUUUUUUUCUCUCCGCUUAACCUCAAAACUUUGUGCAGUAUGUUUAUGAAUAUAUAUUAUUAUGUAUAAUUUUACUUAAAAAUUACGUAAAAUUACAGAAAUACAUUUCAUUCCUUCGAAGAAAGGAUGCAAUUUAUUAGUUUAUGAAAAAUAUACAUAUGCAAAAAACUGUCAAAGUAAAAACAGAACGACUUGGACAUGUUCAUCUCGAUGCUCAAAAAAGUGUAAUGCGCAAGUACUGUUAGGUAAUAAUGGAGAAUUCAUUGUGAUCAAUGAUGAGCACAGUCAUUCACCUCCAGUCUUCUAUGUGAACGACCUAGGCGAAUAUGUGAGGGUAAUCGAGAGAAAACCAAAGGAGACUUAAAUAAAAUGUUAAGUAACUGCAGCUGUGAUAAACGCUAUAUUAAAAAAAUCCUUUAUUCAAUAAGUUCAAAUUAUCAACAAAUAGAUGUAAGUUGUUAUGGAAAUAAGAGAACCUUAUGUAAUUUAAAUUCUUAGAGAGGAGAAAACCUAUGAUAUUCAGUAGACUUAAGACAUAUGCAUUCAUUUAUGGCUGAUAUUGUUGGAAUGUUACGUAUAAAUUUUUUGUAUGAUCUGUAUUUCAUUUGCAAAGAAAAUGAUUUUGUACGUUUAUACCUAUCUAUAAUAUUAUUACUACUAUGUAUAUAUUUUAUAAUUUAUAAGGUCACUAUUUCAAUUGUACACAAGAAGGGCAAUAUACAGGUAUUUUCAUUGUAAAACAAUGAAUCACGUUAUUCAAAACUUUAAGGCAUUUAAGUAUGCAUGUACCUGAGCGUAUGUUAAAAUACAAUAAAUAAAUAAUGCAACACA